GAGCAUUGCGCCAAUGCUGCGCAGGCUGGGAUACAACCCCAAUGCCAAUCCACCAGAUUAUGGUCAACCAGAUCCGGAAGUGAUCAACAAUACUCAACGGGUACUGCGAGGAGAUUUUAAAACUCCCACGAGCCUGAAAAGAUGGGCACAAGUAUCUCCAAAGUCAGUUUCUAAAGGAGGCCGAAACUGAAGAGAGUCCUACAUUGAUUGCAGUAUGUGCUGGUGUUCCGCAUUGGAUAAUUCACCACCAUUUUGUGCCAUGAAGGCCUUUCACAAGAUACUGAGCAACCUGAGUAGGAAAUAAUGAGCAUCGUUAUUAUGCAAUAGCUGUGGUUACAUGGGGUCUGAUUUUGACAUAGCCAGAAUCUAUUAUAAUAAUUAGGCAACUAAGUCCUAUUGUGUACCAAAAUGAUGUAAUGUAAUAGAUUGAUGUCAAAGAAACAAGCCUCACACAGACACUGGACAGACAUCGACAUUUUUACUACCUGAUGCUCUCAGAAGAGUAUUGUUUACUUUGUUUAUAGAACAAAGUUUGCCAUAAAUCAAUUACACUGGACUUCCUGAAUAUUGCAGUUUUU
Sinocyclocheilus grahami is the source of this 578-nucleotide long non-coding RNA. RefSeq lists it as uncharacterized. The transcript has 3 exons. Lineage: Eukaryota; Metazoa; Chordata; Actinopteri; Cypriniformes; Cyprinidae. The record is from RefSeq and is a predicted model, not a curated record.